This 222-nucleotide unclassified non-coding RNA is filed under the name Basidiomycota sp. Its description in RNAcentral is "partial contains small subunit ribosomal RNA, internal transcribed spacer 1, and 5.8S ribosomal RNA". The stretch from base 1 to 47 matches the Rfam family "Eukaryotic small subunit ribosomal RNA", at positions 1785 to 1831 of the family's 1831-position model. The record is from RNAcentral. Lineage: Eukaryota; Fungi; Basidiomycota.
AAAGUCGUAACAAGGUUUCCGUAGGUGAACCUGCGGAAGGAUCAUUAAUUGAUCAAAUUGAAAAAAAGGUUGUUUUUUAUUCGCAAGAGUAAAAGAUGCCUUUUUUUUUAUUCACUGUGAACUGUCUUGUACUGUUGUAGUUUUUUGUUUAUUAUUUUUUACUUUCUUACGAAGGUAAAAGAAGAAUAAAGACAACUUUCAGCAAUGGAUCUCUUGGCUCUU